GAUGAACGCUAGCGGCAGGCUUAAUACAUGCAAGUCGAGGGGCAUCAAGGUACACGAAAGUGUAUUGUUGGCGACCGGCGGACGGGUGAGUAAUAGGUAGGUAACCUACCUCAUACUGAGGCAUAGCUGGGAGAAAUUCCAGGUAAUUCCUCAUGAGGUUAUAUGACACAUGUGAUAUAAUCAAAGGUAUCGCAAGGUACUGGUAUGAGAUGGGCUUACUGACCAUUAGCUAGUUGGUGAGAUAAGAGCUCACCAAGGCGAAGAUGGUUAGGGGUUUUGAGAGAGAGAUCCCCCACAUUGGAACUGAGAUACGGUCCAGACUCCUACGGGAGGCAGCAGUAGGGAAUAUUGGGCAAUGGGCGAAGCCUGACCCAGCCAUGCCGCGUGAAGGAAGACGGCCUUAUGGGUUUAAACUUCUUUAACUAUGCGACUAACUAGAUUUACGAGAUAAUUCUAUAGAAUGUAGCAUAGCAAAAGCAACCGG
This 484-nucleotide ribosomal RNA is filed under the name uncultured bacterium. RNAcentral describes it as "bacterial SSU rRNA". It matches the Rfam family "Bacterial small subunit ribosomal RNA", at positions 28 to 497 of the family's 1533-position model. The record is from RNAcentral.